CUAUGCCGCCUGCAUCGUUCUUGGGAUUAAGUUUUUACAUGAAUAUCGCAUUGUCCACCGAGAUUUAAAGCCUGCAAAUAUUGUCCUAGACAGUGAUGGAUAUGCCAAAAUUGCAGAUUUUGGGUUGUGCAAAGCAGGUAUUGGCUACAGAGAUGAAAUGACCUAUCCAUGUGGAACGGAGUGUUACUGGGCUCCAGAAAUGUUUGCAGAAAGAAACUACAGGAGAAGCGUGGACUGGUGGGCUUUAGGCAUAAUCAUCUAUAAAAUGGCCGUUGGCUAUGUGAGUAUAAAGCCGUCACUAAUAAUCCCAUUAGGUUCUACAAUGCUGUCUAUUUACUUUAUUCUAUUGAAGAGACUCAAAUUGUAAAGAUCUCACUCUGCUCCAUAACCCGCCCAGACCCGC
Long non-coding RNA from Xenopus laevis (African clawed frog), 403 nucleotides. RefSeq lists it as uncharacterized. The transcript is spliced from 3 exons. NCBI's taxonomy places the organism in Eukaryota, Metazoa, Chordata, Amphibia, Anura, Pipidae. The record is from RefSeq and is a predicted model, not a curated record.